This 576-nucleotide ribosomal RNA is filed under the name uncultured bacterium. RNAcentral describes it as "bacterial SSU rRNA". It matches the Rfam family "Bacterial small subunit ribosomal RNA", at positions 920 to 1498 of the family's 1533-position model. The record is from RNAcentral.
CCCGCACAAGCGGUGGAGCAUGUGGUUUAAUUCGACGAUACGCGAAGAACCUUACCUGGCCUUGACAUAGAAAGAACUUUCCAGAGACGGAUUGGUGCUAGUUUACUAGAGCUUUCAUACAGGUGCUGCACGGCUGUCGUCAGCUCGUGUCGUGAGAUGUUGGGUUAAGUCCCGCAACGAGCGCAACCCUCGUGUUUAGUUACUAACAGUUCGGCUGAGGACUCUAAACAGACUGCCUGGGUAACCAGGAGGAAGGUGAGGACGACGUCAAGUCAUCAUGGCCCUUACGGCCAGGGCUACACACGUGCUACAAUGGGGUAUACAAAGAGCUGCAAUACGGUGACGUGGAGCAAAUCUCAUAAAAUAUCUCCCAGUUCGGAUUGAAGUCUGCAACUCGACUUCAUGAAGUUGGAAUCGCUAGUAAUCGUAGAUCAGCAAUGCUACGGUGAAUACGUUCCCGGGUCUUGUACUCACCGCCCGUCACACCAUGGGAAUUGAAUUCAUUCGAAGCGGGGAUGCUAAAAUAGCUACCUUCCACAGUGGAUUUAGUAACUAGGGUGAAGUCGUAACAAGGUA